Dioscorea cayenensis subsp. rotundata (Guinea yam) is the source of this 107-nucleotide small nucleolar RNA. NCBI's taxonomy places the organism in Eukaryota, Viridiplantae, Streptophyta, Magnoliopsida, Dioscoreales, Dioscoreaceae. The record is from RefSeq and is a predicted model, not a curated record.
AACACAUGAUAAGGGCAUUGUCUAAGAAGAUCCUUGAACCUCUCAUGUGCCUUGAACAAUGUCUCCGACUCUUCCUGCUUGAAUGCUGAGAUCUCCAGUUUGAUCUU